This 468-nucleotide ribosomal RNA is filed under the name uncultured bacterium. Its description in RNAcentral is "partial 16S ribosomal RNA". It matches the Rfam family "Bacterial small subunit ribosomal RNA", at positions 28 to 507 of the family's 1533-position model. The record is from RNAcentral.
GACGAACGCUGGCGGCGUGCUUAACACAUGCAAGUCGAACGGAAAGGCCCUGAUUUUGUGGGGUGCUCGAGUGGCGAACGGGUGAGUAACACGUGAGUAACCUGCCCUUGACUUUGGGAUAACUUAAGGAAACUGGGGCUAAUACCGUAUAGGAGCUCCUGCUGCAUGGAGGGGGUGGGAAAGUUUCGGCGGUUGGGGAUGGACUCGCGGCUAAUCAGCUUGUUGGUGGGGUAGUGGCUUACCCAGGCUUUGACGGGUAGCCGGCCUGAGAGGGUGACCGGCGACAUGGGGACUGAGAGACGGCCCAGACUCCUACGGUAGACAGCAGUGGGGAAUAUUGCACAAUGGGCGGAAGCCUGAUGCGGCAGCGCCGCGGUCGGGAUGACGGCCUUCGGGUAGUAAACCGCUUUCGCCUGUGACGAAGCGUGAGUGACGGUAAUGGGUAAAGAAGCACCGGCUAACUACGUG